Molecule: ribosomal RNA, 744 nt
Filed under: uncultured Propionibacterium sp.
Lineage: Bacteria; Bacillati; Actinomycetota; Actinomycetes; Propionibacteriales; Propionibacteriaceae
Description: bacterial SSU rRNA
Rfam family: Bacterial small subunit ribosomal RNA
Source: RNAcentral
AGGUAGGGGAGAAUGGAAUUCCUGGUGGAGCGGUGGAAUGCGCAGAUAUCAGGAGGAACACCAGUGGCGAAGGCGGUUCUCUGGGCCUUUCCUGACGCUGAGGAGCGAAAGCGUGGGGAGCGAACAGGCUUAGAUACCCUGGUAGUCCACGCUGUAAACGGUGGGUACUAGGUGUGGGGUCCUUCCAGGGUUCCGUGCCGUAGCUAACGCUUUAAGUACCCCGCCUGGGGAGUACGGCCGCAAGGCUAAAACUCAAAGGAAUUGACGGGGCCCCGCACAAGCGGCGGAGCAUGCGGAUUAAUUCGAUGCAACGCGUAGAACCUUACCUGGGUUUGACAUGAUCGGGAGUGCUCAGAGAUGGGUGUGCCUCUUUUGGGGUCGGUUCACAGGUGGUGCAUGGCUGUCGUCAGCUCGUGUCGUGAGAUGUUGGGUUAAGUCCCGCAACGAGUGCAACCCUUGUUCACUGUUGCCAGCACGUUAUGGUGGGGACUCAGUGGAGACCGCCGGGGUCAACUCGGAGGAAGGUGGGGAUGACGUCAAGUCAUCAUGCCCCUUAUGUCCAGGGCUUCACGCAUGCUACAAUGGCUGGUACAGAGAGUGGCGAGCCUGUGAGGGUGAGCGAAUCUCGGAAAGCCGGUCUCAGUUCGGAUUGGGGUCUGCAACUCGACCUCAUGAAGUCGGAGUCGCUAGUAAUCGCAGAUCAGCACGCUGCGGUGAAUACGUUCCCGGGGCUUGCACACACCG